UACGUAGGGUGCGAGCGUUGUCCGGAAUUAUUGGGCGUAAAGGGCGCGCAGGCGGCUCGUUUUGUCAGGCGUGAAAGCCCCGGGCUUAACCUGGGAACUGCGUUUGAUACGGACGGGCUAGAGUUCGGGAGAGGAGAGUGGAAUUCCCAGUGUAGAGGUGAAAUUCGUAGAUAUCGAGAGGAACACCAGUGGCGAAGGCGAGUCCCUGGACAUCUCCUGACACUGAGGCACGAAAGCUAGGGGAGCAAACAGG
RNAcentral lists this ribosomal RNA (253 nucleotides) under uncultured bacterium. Its description in RNAcentral is "partial 16S ribosomal RNA". It matches the Rfam family "Bacterial small subunit ribosomal RNA", at positions 524 to 776 of the family's 1533-position model. The record is from RNAcentral.